Molecule: unclassified non-coding RNA, 1786 nt
Filed under: Hevea brasiliensis (rubber tree)
Lineage: Eukaryota; Viridiplantae; Streptophyta; Magnoliopsida; Malpighiales; Euphorbiaceae
Source: RNAcentral
CCGACACCCGUAUGCUACACACGAAAUCUACUUUCAAAAAAAAAUCAUUCCUACCUCCUCCACCUAUCCAAUUAACCAGAAAAAAAGAAAAGAAAUUGAACUAGAAAAAAGAUUAGCAAAAAGAGCUUUUUGAGAAAACAUCAUAGCUCUUGACAAAAUUUCUGUUCACCUUAACAAUAAAUCAUUUUAAAUGUCGAUUCAAAUAAAUUAUACUAAGCUACUACUCUUCAAGCUGUAGCAGAAUAGCGAGGAGCCGGGCCUUUGGCUGUUCCAUUAGACAUUCCACCACCACGACUCAUUCGCCCACCUGUAUUGUCAGCUCGCCGAUAUCCUUCACCUCCACGGUUUGAUGAACCCCCACGAUUCCCACCCCUGUUAUUGAACUCAUUUCUUCCAUGGAAAUCAUCUCGACCAUAACCCCUGCCACCUAAAUAGUUUCCUCGCCCUCUUCCUCCAACAUCGUUCCUGAAUCCACCGCCCCUUCCAGAUUGAAACCUACCACCACCUCUGGCAUUAAGUCGAGAAUUGGUAGACCUCUUUUCCUCGACCACUGCUUGCCGAUCACCAAUGAGAACUGGAGAAGCCUCGAUUGCUUUUUGCACAGCACUUUCCACUUCAAAUUCCACGAAUCCAAAACAAAAUCCCUGUUGCCUGUUACUUCUCACUUGAAUUCCUCCAUUUUUUAUUGGCCCAAACUUCUUGAACUCAUCCGCAAGUAAUGCCACAGUUGCACUCAUAGGCAGGCCUUUUAUAUAGAUUGAGUAGCCAUCAGCUUCUGUGUCAUUUAUGUUAUCAAUGGUCUCUGAGCUGGAAUAUGGGCCAUCAGUUGUUGUGGCAGCAGGCUGAUUCACUUGCACAACACUCUUUGUCAUAGGCUUCCUAGCAGCAGGUGCUGGAGGAGGGGAGAAGGUUGCAGCACUUUCCUUGAGAUGCAUGACAAUUGAAGCAUAUGACUUCUUAGGAACUUCCCCAGUUUUGUUGUCAGAUUCCGCUACCACUUCAGAGCCAUCUUGGACUUCAUGGACGACCUCAGACACAGGCACUUCCUCCUCAACAAUAAGCACAUCACCAUUCUCAGAUGGGUUGUAAACUUCUCCCACGUCAGCUUCCUCUGCUGGUGGAGUGCUUUGCUCAGGAAUGUGAUUCUGUGGUGCUGUAGGUGGAUCUGCAACAAUUUGCUCUGGUGUGACAGGAGCCACAGCAUCAGUUACUGGAACCUGGACUGUAUCAUGCUGACUGGCAGUCUCUACAUAUCGAAACAUAUCAUUCAAGACAAAGUACCCCCUAUCUUGUGGUGCUAGGAAGAAAGUUUGACAGAAAUUCCGGACCAAGUUGUCUUUCCCAGUCAAAUAUCCAGUUACAAGGACAUGCACCCCGCCAUUAAAGGAUUCUUGGGCAUCCACAGACUUGAUCUCUGCUCUGAGAUCUCCAUAGUUGAGUGAGAGUAUCUUAUCAUUUAUUGCUUGCAUUGUCGUAGUGAUACCCAUGGAUCCAUCCUCUUCAGGACGUCCAAGCUUGCUUAUAUCCUGGUAAAACCUGAAUACAAGCCCCGGCGAAUGAUGCAAUAUAUGAUAGUAUUGCUGCACAAAAGCAUUCGCAACAACUUGAGCAGAAACUGGUGCUACUGCCGCUACUGCUACUGCUGCUUCCGCUGCCAUCGUCAAUCAAUCGAACUCCUGUUUAUAGCACUGGAUUUAUAUCGGAUCAGAUAAGUGGAAAGAGAGAAAGCUUGAUGUACAGUCGGUGAGUUUCUCUCUCUUCGUGUGUUUCUCUCUCUAGAUGCGGA